AUGAUAGUAGCGGCCCUCACAGCAUUUUUCCACCUUCAAAGAGAACCAAAUCUGCAGUCUGGGCGUCUUUUGGUUAUUAUAAGAAUGCUCAGGGACAGCUGCAGAAGCUUCGAGAACAAAGUUGAUGCGAGGGGCGGCAACACUUCCAAUUUACUCACUUUGACUUUACGAUCAUCACCCGCAACUGUUCAGCAAAUGCAAGGGUCAAUGCUAAGACACAUACAAGGAGGAGCAAGUGGCCAAGAGGAGACGAUGAGCAACCAUCUACAAGCAGUUCAGGCACACAUCAACCCCAGCAAGCCAGCAGGUCUGUAGACUCCACAACAGUACCAAGCCCUGAUCAACCACCCCCACCCUGUUUUUUUCUUCGGGGGGGGGGCAGCUAGCAGCACCACUGGUCCUCUCGAUGCAUUGUAGGUAUUCAAAUUUAAACUGUUUUUUUAUAUUAAGUUCUUUUAUUC
Molecule: long non-coding RNA, 461 nt
Filed under: Sparus aurata (gilthead seabream)
Lineage: Eukaryota; Metazoa; Chordata; Actinopteri; Spariformes; Sparidae
Description: lncRNA (ENSSAUG00010016402.1)
Source: RNAcentral